This 683-nucleotide ribosomal RNA is filed under the name Streptomyces fradiae. RNAcentral's name for it is "bacterial SSU rRNA". It matches the Rfam family "Bacterial small subunit ribosomal RNA", at positions 29 to 724 of the family's 1533-position model. The record is from RNAcentral. Lineage: Bacteria; Bacillati; Actinomycetota; Actinomycetes; Kitasatosporales; Streptomycetaceae.
UCCAGUUGGCCGGGGGUGGCUUACACAUGCAAGUCGAACGAUGAACCCACUUCGGUGGGGGAUUAGUGGCGAACGGGUGAGUAACACGUGGGCAAUCUGCCCUGCACUCUGGGACAAGCCCUGGAAACGGGGUCUAAUACCGGAUACGACCACUUCAGGCAUCUGAUGGUGGUGGAAAGCUCCGGCGGUGCAGGAUGAGCCCGCGGCCUAUCAGCUAGUUGGUGAGGUAACGGCUCACCAAGGCGACGACGGGUAGCCGGCCUGAGAGGGCGACCGGCCACACUGGGACUGAGACACGGCCCAGACUCCUACGGGAGGCAGCAGUGGGGAAUAUUGCACAAUGGGCGAAAGCCUGAUGCAGCGACGCCGCGUGAGGGAUGACGGCCUUCGGGUUGUAAACCUCUUUCAGCAGGGAAGAAGCGAAAGUGACGGUACCUGCAGAAGAAGCGCCGGCUAACUACGUGCCAGCAGCCGCGGUAAUACGUAGGGCGCAAGCGUUGUCCGGAAUUAUUGGGCGUAAAGAGCUCGUAGGCGGCCUGUCACGUCGGAUGUGAAAGCCCGGGGCUUAACCCCGGGUCUGCAUUCGAUACGGGCAGGCUAGAGUUCGGUAGGGGGAGAUCGGAAUUCCUGGUGUAGCGGUGAAAUGCGCAGAUAUCAGGAGGAACACCGGUGGGCGAAGGCGG